UAGUCAACAUGCCCAGGGGACGUGGAUAACCUCGGGAAACUGAGGAUAAACCGCGAUAGGUCACUACUUCUGGAAUGGGUAAUGACCCAAACCUAUAUGGCCCCUGGAUUGGACUGCGGCCGAUCAGGCUGUUGGUGAGGUAAUGGCCCACCAAACCUGUAACCGGUACGGGCUCUGAGAGGAGGAGCCCGGAGAUGGGCACUGAGACAAGGGCCCAGGCCCUAUGGGGCGCAGCAGGCGCGAAACCUCUGCAAUAGGCGAAAGCUUGACAGGGUUACUCUGAGUGAUUUCCGUUAAGGAGAUCUUUUGGCACCUCUAAAAAUGGUGCAGAAUAAGGGGUGGGCAAGUCUGGUGUCAGCCGCCGCGGUAAUACCAGCACCCCGAGUGGUCGGGACGUUUAUUGGGCCUAAAGCAUCCGUAGCCGGUCCUACAAGUCUUCCGUUAAAUCCACCUGCUCAACAGAUGGGCUGCGGAAGAUACUAUGGAGCUAGGAGGCGGGAGAGGCAAGCGGUACUCGAUGGGUAGGGGUAAAAUCCGUUGAUCCAUUGAAGACCACCAGUGGCGAAGGCGGCUUGCCAGAACGCGCUCGACGGUGAGGGAUGAAAGCUGGGGGAGCAAACCGGAUUAGAUACCCGGGUAGUCCCAGCUGUAAACGAUGCAGACUCGGUGAUGAGUUGGCUUUAUGCCAACUCAGUGCCGCAGGGAAGCCGUUAAGUUUGCCGCCUGGGGAGUACGGUCGCAAGACUGAAACUUAAAGG
RNAcentral lists this ribosomal RNA (758 nucleotides) under uncultured archaeon. Its description in RNAcentral is "bacterial SSU rRNA". It matches the Rfam family "Archaeal small subunit ribosomal RNA", at positions 101 to 862 of the family's 1478-position model. The record is from RNAcentral.